RNAcentral lists this ribosomal RNA (649 nucleotides) under bacterium. RNAcentral describes it as "bacterial SSU rRNA". It matches the Rfam family "Bacterial small subunit ribosomal RNA", at positions 8 to 657 of the family's 1533-position model. The record is from RNAcentral.
AGAGUUUGAUCCUGGCUCAGGAUGAACGCUAGCGGGAGGCCUAACACAUGCAAGCCGAGCGGUAGAGUCUCUUCGGGGACUUGAGAGCGGCGCACGGGUGCGGAACACGUGUGCAACCUGCCUUUAUCUGGGGGAUAGCCUUUAGAAAGGAAGAUUAAUACCCCAUAAUAUACUGGAUGGCAUCAUCUGGUAUUGAAAACUCCGGUGGAUAGAGAUGGGCACGCGCAAGAUUAGAUAGUUGGUGAGGUAACGGCUCACCAAGUCAGCGAUCUUUAGGGGGCCUGAGAGGGUGAUCCCCCACACUGGUACUGAGACACGGACCAGACUCCUACGGGAGGCAGCAGUGAGGAAUAUUGGACAAUGGGUGAGAGCCUGAUCCAGCCAUCCCGCGUGAAGGACGACGGCCCUAUGGGUUGUAAACUUCUUUUGUAUAGGGAUAAACCUAGAUACGUGUAUCUAGCUGAAGGUACUAUACGAAUAAGCACCGGCUAACUCCGUGCCAGCAGCCGCGGUAAUACGGAGGGUGCAAGCGUUAUCCGGAUUUAUUGGGUUUAAAGGGUCCGUAGGCGGAUUUGUAAGUCAGUGGUGAAAUCUCACAGCUUAACUGUGAAACUGCCAUUGAUACUGCAGGUCUUGAGUGUUGUUGAAG